GCCGGGCAUGGUGGCUCACGCUUGUAAUCCAAGCACUUUGGAGGCUAAGGCGGGCGGAUCACCUGAGGUCGGGAGUUCAAGACCAGCCUGACCAACAUGGUGAAAGCCCGUCUUUA
Unclassified non-coding RNA from Callithrix jacchus (white-tufted-ear marmoset), 116 nucleotides. It matches the Rfam family "Metazoan signal recognition particle RNA". Rfam says of the family: The signal recognition particle (SRP) is a universally conserved ribonucleoprotein. It is involved in the co-translational targeting of proteins to membranes. The eukaryotic SRP consists of a 300-nucleotide 7S RNA and six proteins: SRPs 72, 68, 54, 19, 14, and 9. The record is from Ensembl. Lineage: Eukaryota; Metazoa; Chordata; Mammalia; Primates; Cebidae.